CCUACGGGAGGCAGCAGUGGGGAAUAUUGGACAAUGGGGGGAACCCUGAUCCAGCCAUGCCGCGUGUGUGAAGAAGGCCCUCGGGUUGUAAAGCACUUUCAGUGAGGAAGAACGCCUGGUGGUUAAUACCCAUCAGGAAAGACAUCACUCACAGAAGAAGCACCGGCUAACUCCGUGCCAGCAGCCGCGGUAAUACGGAGGGUGCGAGCGUUAAUCGGAAUUACUGGGCGUAAAGCGCGCGUAGGUGGCUUGAUAAGCCGGUUGUGAAAGCCCCGGGCUCAACCUGGGAACGGCAUCCGGAACUGUCAAGCUAGAGUGCAGGAGAGGAAGGUAGAAUUCCCGGUGUAGCGGUGAAAGGCGUAGAGAUCGGGAGGAAUACCAGUGGCGAAGGCGGCCUUCUGGACUGACACUGACACUGAGGUGCGAAAGCGUGGGUAGCAAACAGGAUUAGAUACCCCGGUAGUC
This 465-nucleotide ribosomal RNA is filed under the name Vreelandella stevensii. RNAcentral describes it as "partial 16S ribosomal RNA". It matches the Rfam family "Bacterial small subunit ribosomal RNA", at positions 338 to 795 of the family's 1533-position model. The record is from RNAcentral. Lineage: Bacteria; Pseudomonadati; Pseudomonadota; Gammaproteobacteria; Oceanospirillales; Halomonadaceae.